CUGAACCAGCCAAGUAGCGUGAAGGAUGAAGGUCUAUGGAUUGUAAACUUCUUUUAUACGGGAAUAAACGGAUCCACGUGUGGAUUUUUGCAUGUACCGUAUGAAUAAGGAUCGGCUAACUCCGUGCCAGCAGCCGCGGUAAUACGGAGGAUCCGAGCGUUAUCCGGAUUUAUUGGGUUUAAAGGGAGCGUAGAUGGGUUGUUAAGUCAGUUGUGAAAGUUUGCGG
Molecule: ribosomal RNA, 226 nt
Filed under: uncultured Bacteroides sp.
Lineage: Bacteria; Pseudomonadati; Bacteroidota; Bacteroidia; Bacteroidales; Bacteroidaceae
Description: partial 16S ribosomal RNA
Rfam family: Bacterial small subunit ribosomal RNA
Source: RNAcentral